UACGUAGGGCGCGAGCGUUAUCCGGAAUUAUUGGGCGUAAAGAGCUCGUAGGCGGUUUGUCGCGUCUGCUGUGAAAACUGGAGGCUCAACCUCCAGCCUGCAGUGGGUACGGGCAGACUCGAGUGCGGUAGGGGAGAUUGGAAUUCCUGGUGUAGCGGUGGAAUGCGCAGAUAUCAGGAGGAACACCGAUGGCGAAGGCAGGUCUCUGGGCCACUACUGACGCUGAGAAGCGAAAGCAUGGGGAGCGAACAGG
This 253-nucleotide ribosomal RNA is filed under the name uncultured bacterium. Its description in RNAcentral is "partial 16S ribosomal RNA". It matches the Rfam family "Bacterial small subunit ribosomal RNA", at positions 524 to 776 of the family's 1533-position model. The record is from RNAcentral.